Molecule: ribosomal RNA, 439 nt
Filed under: uncultured bacterium
Lineage: Bacteria
Description: partial 16S ribosomal RNA
Rfam family: Bacterial small subunit ribosomal RNA
Source: RNAcentral
CUACGGGGUGCUGCAGUGGGGAAUAUUGCACAAUGGAGGAAACUCUGAUGCAGCAACGCCGCGUGGAGGAUGACACUUUUCGGAGCGUAAACUCCUUUUAUAUAGGAAGAAGAUGACGGUACUAUAUGAAUAAGCGCCGGCUAACUCCGUGCCAGCAGCCGCGGUAAUACGGAGGGCGCAAGCGUUACUCGGAAUCACUGGGCGUAAAGAGCGUGUAGGCGGAUUAAAAAGUCAGAAGUGAAAUCCUAUAGCUUAACUAUAGAACUGCCUCUGAAACUCUUAAUCUAGAAUAUGGGAGAGGUAGAUGGAGUUUCUGGUGUAGGGGUAAUAUCCGUAGAGAUCAGAAGGAAUACCGAUUGCGAAGGCGAUCUACUAGAACAUUAUUGACGCUGAGACGCGAAAGCGUGGGGAGCAAACAGGAUUAGAUACCCGCGUAGUC